Molecule: long non-coding RNA, 7032 nt
Organism: Eriocheir sinensis (Chinese mitten crab)
Lineage: Eukaryota; Metazoa; Arthropoda; Malacostraca; Decapoda; Varunidae
Exons: 2
Source: RefSeq, a predicted model, not a curated record
UUGGUUUCUCUCUCUCUCUCUCUCUCUCUCUAAAACAAAAGCACAGAGAACUUUCAAACAGAAGAAUGAGACCUUUUUUACAUUUGGUUUUCAUUGGGCUUAAGUUACAUUGUUAGGUUCUAUAAGAUCCAUCAAACUUAGUUAAUACAGAGGACUUAAAAGCCUGACAAGUAUGAGAAGCCUUUAUUUUUACAUCUAUUUUAGGAUAUAUUAUCUCCGCGUGGGGCCGGCAGGAUGGAGGCCCCACGCCCAGUUUGGUGUAAUAUCAAAGAUAAAGGAUUCCUUGCCUCUCCUUGGGCCGCGUGAAAGACACAGACAGUGAAUCACGAGAAAUUACUGUCUUACAUACAAACAUACAGACACGUACACGGGCACACACACGGAACAGCAAGAAAGAGGGAAACAAGGAGCACUGUACAUGUUAGCAGACUCACGGAUAGCUUGUCACCUUCCCUCGGGGGCCGGGGGACAGGCCGGGGGGCUGGGCACGGCACACUGGCCAAUCUGUACGCAUGUCUCCAGUUAGUACUCAUACCAGUGAAAAACUGUUGAACUGUAAAAAUCAAAUAUACUGCCAAUAUAGAUUAAUAUCUAUUUUGUUACAAAAGUUCAUUUUUACACCUCAGGUCAAUUUUUUUGUGAUUUUUUUCCCUGGUAUGUGUUCCCCUUGGAAUGUUGCGCAUCAACUGGUGGACAUGCCCCACGCCAGGCUGCGAGACACUCUCAGCCCUGUCCUCCUCCUCCUCACCCUUCCUCACCCCUCCCCAGCCUGUCCUGCCCCACCCCUGAUCCUCAGGUCCCCAGUCUGAUGUCACACCCUUAGUGCCUCACCACACACUGUGCCUGCAGGGCCUGCCGGCGCCUGCGACGGUGCCACAGUGCCGCCAGUCACCAGUCACUGGCAGGACACCCGUGUCCGGCACGUGUGGGUCGGCACACAGCACAUCACACCACAACACAUCACAACACAACAGCUAGUCGUACCCUCGACAAACAGUGGCCCAGCCUGGCCCGGCCCCACCUGGCCCAGGUGGUGCGGCAGGCUGGCUGGCUGGCCACGGUCUCUCGGCACAAAGCAGUGUGUACAAGAUUACAUGAAGGACACGUAAUGACUUAACGUAAACGGACCUAACCUAAAACAGAUGCUUCAAAAAUAAAAUUUUCUUAUAGUAUAUAUUUCAAAUAUAAACAAGCAUUAUAUAAGGAUUUCAUUUAUAAAGCUUUCUAUUUGUUUGUAUAUCUCCUUCACUAUACAAGCACUUCUGAGAAAUAGCCUUCACUAGGCCUUGUAACAUACUGUUGGUGUUUGAAAAGCCUUCAGAUCUUUUGUCAACAUAACACUUCACAGGCACUGAGUCUACCUGCCCAGCGGCAGCCCCCGCCGCGCCCCCGGGCCAGCGGCAACAGAGUGCAACAGACACACGCACGAACAAGGCUACACACUCGUCAAGCAUAAGUCGUGAUCAUUGUGUCCGUGUGGCCGCAGACAGUUAUCUUUGUCUCUUUGUGAUGCCGCAGUGACUGGGACAAACUCUCUAAGACAAUGUACCACUGAACACAAAGAUAAUUUAAGUAUGUCUAGGGUUGAGGCAUUAUUGACCUGCUGCAGCGGCUGUGUCCCGGCCACUGGGCCCCGGCAUGAGGGGAGCCACCCAGCGCGGGGAACCUGACAGUCUGGGAACAUGACAGUGCCAAACAUCGGCCACUCAUACACCACAAGUGUGUCAUACAAAACCAUGCUUUGAUGGAAAAAAAAACAAGUUAGAUUAAUGACGUUUGUUGUACAGAAGCACUGUCUAUUAUGAACAGUUCAGCAUCUCCUCUCAAGCCUGCCUCCUCCCCGACCAGUAUGGGCGCUGAGGUCAGAAGGGUCGCGCAUGCUGACCUCAGCCGUGUUGUAACUAACUUAAGGAUGGACGUCACUGGUGCCAGGAGGACGCGCCUCGCCUCACACCCCAAGCCCGCCAUCAAGUGUCUGUGGCGGCCCCAGCUGCCCCAAACUUGUGGCGGCUGUGGCGGUGACAGCAUUACAAACACAAAGGAUGCAGCAGCAGUGAAUCUACGAGUAUAUAAGUCGCACUGGCAGGAGAUUGUUCAUGAUCAGUUUCAGGAAAGCGUUUUUUCUUCAUUGUGUCUUGGCUGGCAAUAGCAUCUGCCAUGUUACUAUAUGUGUAUGUGUAUGUGUUUGUAUGUGAGUGUGUGUGUGUUUGUAAGUGUGAGUGUGAGUGUGAGUGUGUGUGUGUGUGUGUGUGUGUGUGUGUGUGUGUGUGUGUGUGUGUGUGUGUGUGUGUGUGUGUGUGUGUGUGUGUGUGUGUGUGUGUGUGUGUGUGUGUGUGUGUGUGUGUGUGCUUGUGUGUGUGUGCACAUGUGUCCUGGGAACUGUUUAAAGCUGAUAAUUGUUCUGUGAGUCUCAUCAUCGAGCUCCGUAAAGCAUUAACUGCAUCAUUAUCAUCAGCAUCAUCAUCUUCAUCACCACUGUAAUCAUAGCAUUGUCAACCACCCACUUACACUACUGAACAUCAUCAUAAUCAUCAUUGUAAUCAGCAUUGUCACACUCACUUACAGAAAUCAUCAUCAAUCAUCACGCAUCACCUUAACGCUACUGAACAUGCACAUUGCUGACCCAUGAACACCAGCAUGUAAGUAUUAUGAAUAAGUAUAGUAGAGCGAUGCAUGGCUCGGCCGGCCCAGCGCUCUCACCCCGAAACACAGACUUGUAACCGGGGAAUUGAAGAAUGAAUUAACGCUAUGAUACAGGAAUUGCUGGACUUAGUUUUUUUAUGUUACGAUACAGUGUUAAGAUUGUUCCCUUUCUUGAUUUUGCUAGUGUAAGUACUCUUGUCUCUUAAAAACAGGCUUGUAACAUGAAAAAGAAAGGUGUAUAUUAAUGUAUUGCUAAAGUAAUUGCUGGAGUAAAGUUUUUAUAAUAAGUUUUCAGGUUAAGAUUUUUUUUUUCUUCAAUGUUUCGCUAUUUUCAAGUACCCUCGUCUCUUAAACACAGGCUUGUACUAUGAAAAACAAAAGUGUAUAUUCAUGUAUUGUUAAAGUAAUUGCUGGACUUUAGUUUUUAUAAUAAGUUUUCAGGUUGAUUUUUUUUUUCUUUAAUGUUUCGCUAUUUUCAAGUACUCUCGUCUCUUAAACACAGGCUUGUACUAUGAAAAACAAAAGUGUAUAUAUUAACGUAAUGCUAAAGUAAUUGCUGGACUUUAGUUUUUAUAAGUUUUCAGGUUAAGAUUUUUUUUUCUUUAAUAUUUUGUUAUUUUCUCAUCUCAUAAACACAGGCUUAUUCUAUGAAAAAAAAGAAUAUAUUAACGUAAUGAUAAUUGCUGGACUUUCGGUUUUCUGUUAAGUUUUGAGGUUAUGAUUUUUUUUCUUGAAUAUGUUGCUACUUUCACGUACUCUUGUCUCAUAAACACAGGCUUGUACAAUGAAAAAGAAAAGCAAUAUAUUUUUAUGCUAGAGAAAUUGCUGGAGUUUAGUUUUUAUGACAAGUUUUCAGGUUAAGAUUUUUCUUCUUUAAUAUUUCGCUAUUUUCAAGCACUCUCGUCUCAUAAAAACAGACAUACAGUGAAAAAGAAGACUAAAAACAAGAAUAUACAAUACACAGCUCAACCCCAGUCUUGUUAUUUUUCUUCUUUUGAUGUUUUACGCAUUCUCGUCCCUUGAAACAUUUGUACUAAGGAAAAAAAGAUUAAAAUUAAGAUACACUAAUAAUGGCCUGACUUGAUUUCUUUUUUGAAAGCCAUGAGCACGUCUGUUCUGAACACUUUCAUCCCUAAAAACAAACUUGCCUCAUGGAGAGAAAAACCUCAUGGAUACAUUGCCUCGUAGAAAAAAAAUUAUGUAUACCUUGUUUCGUUUGAUUGCUGAACUCAUAAAUUUUCUUUGGUUAUAAAUAAUUUGUUGUCAUUUACACAACCAUUUCUAUCCUUUACUUGUAACACAGAAAAGAAUAAAACAAAGAGCCGUAUUACAAGACGAAUUCAAGAAGUUUCGGGUCCCUACAGAGUUCGGGAUGAAUAACGUUGUAGGGACCCAAAACUUCUCGGAUUCGACCUGUAAUACGGCCCAUAGACACAAAGACUCGCUGCUAAUUGCAGAACAAAUUUUUUUAAGGAAGCGAACCUUUUGUCGUCUUUUAACUUAAACUAACAAGUAAACGUGAGCAAGUGUUAAAGGACUAGAUCACCUGUCUUUUUGCGUCUCAUUGGACUACAUAAAACCUGAACAUGAGUGUGUGUGUUUGUGUGUGUGGCUUGGCUGCCUUAUGUACUCAGGCAUAUUGAAGACUUGAGGCAUUUUCGUUUUACCUUCUCCCAUCAUCACCACAAUCAACACACACCUGUCUUUUUGCAUCUCUUUGGACUACAUAAAACCUGAACGUGUGUGUGUGUGUGUGUGUGGCUUGGACUGUCUUAUGUACUCAGGCGUAUUGAAGACUAGAGGCAUUUUCACUUUACUUUCUCCCAUCAUCACCACCAUCAACACCACAUCACUAUCAUUAUUUUCAUUACAUUCUUUUCCACUAUACUUUAUGAACAGCAUUUCUGGUUAACAUAUGAUAGGCCACAACCGCCCCUUUUAAACAACAACCACACAUGAACAUAAAUGAAAGCUUUUGGAACACAAAAUACAUGACCGGUUAACUUAUCCUAAUAACAAGAACACUUUGGUUAGAUUACAGGCCAGUUUUGGUCCUACAUAGUGUUAUUACAAACUGAACUAUAUUCCUGUGUGUUAGGAGUCAUAGAAAGCUGUCAAAACAAAAAAAACAUGACCAGCUCACUUAUCUUAAAAACGAGAAAGCUUUGGUUAGAUUGAAGGCCAGUUUUGGUCCUACGUAGUGUUUUUACAAACUGAACUAUAUUCCUACGUGUGUUAGGAGUCAUAGAAAGCUGUCAAUACAAAAAAAACAUGACCAGCUCACUUAUCUUAAAAAUGAGAAAACUUUGGUUAGAUUAAAGACCAGUUUCAGUUCUACACAGUGUUAUUACAAGCUUCCAAACAGAACAAUAUACCUACAUGUGUCAGGAUUUAUAUAACUUAUCCGACAGGUUUAUCUAAAAAAACGAGAAAGCUUUGGUUAGAUUAAAGGCCAGUUUCAGUUCUAGUGUCAUUACAAACUCCCAAACAGAACUAUAUACCUACAUGUGUCAGGAUUUAUAUAACUUAUCUGACGGACUUAUCUUAAAAAAACGAGAAAACUUCGGUUAGAUAAAACGGCGGCUACACUACACACUCCUACGCAGCGUUAAAGCAAGCCUCCAAACUGAACUAUACUCCCAUGUGUGUCGGGAUUAACAGAGAGCACCCGAUACUAAAGACAUUCCAUGUAUCGUCACCUUCGUAAACAAACCGCCUAAGUCAUUAUUUUUUUUACUUUUCAGGAAAUCAGAAAAGAACUGUCAUUAUCUCAUUUGGCUUAAGAUUUAGGAAGGAAUGAAAAGGCCAAUUCUAGAACACUCAAACCCUGAAUGACGAAGGCAACUAUACAGAAAUGGGCGUCACAUGAUGGAAAAUUGAUGUAAACAAAAACCUGGAAAUCACUGAAAAAUGACAGGCGAUUAUUUUAUGAGGGUGACGAUAUCCUCAAGUUCUUUAGCAUCUUUAUAAAUACCAAACAAGAAGUUCCUGUAGACUUUGGUGCCUGGUUACGUAAUUUAUGAAUACAUUGUGGAACUGGCCCUUAGACGGUAAAAUGCCCUCAACACACUGCAUAAAAGCUGUGUUUGACUAGAUGAAUAUUCUCCUCCUUGACGCACUUCAUGAUAUUUGUAUGCAUAUUAUUGAUUGCUGCCCUGCCUACUCCACAUGCAUAUUCAGUUAAGAGGACCUGGAGUUGAAGACCUUAGUGACAUAACGGUUGAUAUUUACCAAGUUUUUUUUACCUAGUUGUUGUUUAUAGAAUUUGAGACAUGCCCAUUUUGUUCUGCCUUCAUACCCAUCCUUAUCUUACUUGAACUCAUGAACAUAAACUCUGUAACUAUUAUUUUGUGGCUCUGUUCCUCUAUGGUUCCCUAUCUGCAUUUACUCCCCUUUCUCUUUUGUAAUUACUUCUUCCUUUCUUUGAUUUAAAACCGGCAUCAAUGUUUACUCGGUCCAUCUAUGUGGGUUCUCAUCUCCUUUCCUUCUUCAACUACAUUUUUCUUUCUGUGUUGAAAUCUGUGCCAUCAGGUGUUAAUUUCUGUGCGCAUGUGUCUGUGUAUCUGCAGCUUUCUUCUCUGUGGUUUCCUUCAUGCAUUGUUUCAUCAUACGAGUUUAAAAUUGUGAUGGCAUUGUUACCGUCUUUGAUUGUGUAUUUGAGUGGCUUUUUCUUUUCUUCUCUAUCUUCAAUUUACUCUCCCAUCCUUUGAGUUUAAAAUUGUGAUGCCAUUCUUAACUUCUUUGGUUGUGUGUCUGAGUGGGUUUCUUUUCCUCUCUUGCCUAUCUUUAAUUUACUCUUCCAUCCUACGAGUUUAAAAUUGUAAUGCCAUUGUUAACUCCUUUGCUUUUUAAUCUAUGUGGCUUUCUUUUCUGUGGGUGAUGAUCUUGGCCUUUGUUAAUCCAUUCUUCCAUAGUUUAAAAGAGUGUCACUGUCUGCCUGAGUACACAAGACAUUUCAUCCUCAGAAUAUGCAAUAAAAAAGCAGCAUUUGAGUGAUAAGUGCAGUGUGAGUUCCUAUUCUUUACAUUACUAAACAAUAACCAUUAGUAUCAUUAGUUUGUCACUCAUCAACCUGGAGGUGUCUCAAACAACAACAUAAAAAACACCUCCUUGAUGCCUGACCUAUUUGUUUUUGUUCUGCUAGUGUUCUGUUUUCUUUCUCUGCUAGUGUUUUGUUUUCUUUCUCUGCUAGUGUUUUGUUUUCUUUCUCUGCUAGUGUUUUGUUUUCUUUCUCUGCUAGUGUUUUGUUUUCUUUCUCUGCUAGUGUUUUGUUUUCUUUCUCUGCUAGUGUUUUGUUUUCUUUCUCUGCUAGUGUUUUGUUUUCUUUCAGCAGUUGUUAGCAUGUUAUUUCACCAGCAGUUCACAGCUAAAAAAUAUCCUGACGUGGGG